RNAcentral lists this ribosomal RNA (483 nucleotides) under uncultured bacterium. RNAcentral's name for it is "bacterial SSU rRNA". It matches the Rfam family "Bacterial small subunit ribosomal RNA", at positions 28 to 479 of the family's 1533-position model. The record is from RNAcentral.
GACGAGCGCUGGCGGCGUGCCUAAUACAUGCAAGUCGAACGAAGCUUUCUUUCACCGAAUGCUUGCAUUCACCGAAAGAAGCUUAGUGGCGAACGGGUGAGUAACACGUAGGCAACCUGCCCAAAAGAGGGGGAUAACACUUGGAAACAGGUGCUAAUACCGCAUAACCAUGAACACCGCAUGAUGUUCAUGUAAAAGACGGCUUUUGCUGUCACUUUUGGAUGGGCCUGCGGCGUAUUAACUUGUUGGUGGGGUAACGGCCUACCAAGGUGAUGAUACGUAGCCGAACUGAGAGGUUGAUCGGCCACAUUGGGACUGAGACACGGCCCAAAAUCCUACGGGAGCAGCAGUAGGGAAUCUUCCACAAUGGACGAAAGUCUGAUGGAGCAAACGCCGCGUGAAUGAAGAAGGCCUUCGGGUCGUAAAAUUCUGUUGUCAGAGAAGAACGUGCGUGAGAGUAACUGUUCACGUAUUGACGGUAUC